CACAAGCUUUCCGUAGGUGAACCUGCGGAAGGAUCAUUGUCGUGACCCUGACCAAAACAGACCGCGCACGCGUCAUCCAAUCCGUCGGCGACGGCACCGUCCGUCGCUCGGCCAAUGCCUCGACCACCUCCCCUCCUCGGAGCGGGUGGGGGCCCGGGGUAAAAGAACCCACGGCGCCGAAGGCGUCAAGGAACACUGUGCCUAACCCGGGGGCAUGUCUAGCUUGCUAGCCGUCCCUCGUGUUGCAAAGCUAUUUAAUCCACACGACUCUCGGCAACGGAUAUCUCGGCUCUCGCAUCGAUGAAGAACGUAGCGAAAUGCGAUACCUGGUGUGAAUUGCAGAAUCCCGCGAACCAUCGAGUCUUUGAACGCAAGUUGCGCCCGAGGCCACUCGGCCGAGGGCACGCCUGCCUGGGCGUCACGCCAAAACACGCUCCCAACCACCCUCAACGGGAAUCGGGAUGCGGCAUCUGGUCCCUCGUCUCUCAAGGGACGGUGGACCGAAGAUUGGGCUGCCGGCGUACCGCGCCGGACACAGCGCAUGGUGGGCGUCCUCGCUUUAUCAAUGCAGUGCAUCCGGCGCGCAGCUGGCAUUAUGGCCUUUGAACGACCCAACAAACGAAGCGCACGUCGCUUCGACCGCGACCCCAGGUCAGGCGGGACUACCCGCUGAGUUUAAGCAUAUCAAUAAGCGGAGGAGGAUCCGUG
This 708-nucleotide ribosomal RNA is filed under the name uncultured fungus. Its description in RNAcentral is "eukaryotic LSU rRNA". The stretch from base 266 to 421 matches the Rfam family "5.8S ribosomal RNA". Lineage: Eukaryota; Fungi. The record is from RNAcentral.